CCUACGGGAGGCAGCAGUGAGGAAUAUUGGUCAAUGGACGAGAGUCUGAACCAGCCAAGUAGCGUGAAGGAUGACUGCCCUAUGGGUUGUAAACUUCUUUUAUAUGGGAAUAAAAUGUUCCACGUGUGGGAUUUUGUAUGUACCAUAUGAAUAAGGAUCGGCUAACUCCGUGCCAGCAGCCGCGGUAAUACGGAGGAUCCGAGCGUUAUCCGGAUUUAUUGGGUUUAAAGGGAGCGUAGGUGGAUUGUUAAGUCAGUUGUGAAAGUUUGCGGCUCAACUGUAAAAUUGCAGUUGAAACUGGCAGUCUUGAGUACAGUAGAGGUGGGCGGAAUUCGUGGUGUAGCGGUGAAAUGCUUAGAUAUCACGAAGAACUCCGAUUGCGAAGGCAGUUCACUGGACUGCAACUGACACUGAGGCUCGAAAGUGUGGGUAUCAAACAGGAUUAGAUACCCGAGUAGUC
Molecule: ribosomal RNA, 460 nt
Filed under: uncultured bacterium
Lineage: Bacteria
Description: partial 16S ribosomal RNA
Rfam family: Bacterial small subunit ribosomal RNA
Source: RNAcentral